Molecule: long non-coding RNA, 1627 nt
Organism: Balaenoptera ricei (Rice's whale)
Lineage: Eukaryota; Metazoa; Chordata; Mammalia; Artiodactyla; Balaenopteridae
Exons: 3
Source: RefSeq, a predicted model, not a curated record
CGGGCGCUCACUGGCCGGGGUCCCCGUGCCCAGUCCCCUUGUCCUUCCCGGUGGCGCGGGGAGGAGACGCGAGGGGCGGGGAGGAGGCAGUCCCGGCGGCGCCUCCUCCUCCUCCUCCUCCUCCCGCCGGUCCCGCUUGCCCGGCCGGGCCAAACAGAGGUAGGGGCCAGGGGGCGUCUCCCAGCCAGCAGGAACCCCUGGGCACCCGUGUGGUCGGGGGAGCUCUGCCCGCCGCUCCUAGACGCGGCGUUCGCCGGCCGCCACCGCGCGCCCUCUGGGUCCCCGGUCCGGCGCCCCGCAGCUCAGCGCAACCGCGUGAGGCGGCGAGACGCACGCCAGUCCGCCGCCGGACGCCGAAUUCUCGUCUCUCCCGCUAGCCGGGCGGCCUCCGGGCUCUCCCCGGGGACCGCGCGCGCGAGUUGGCGCGCUCCUGCCAAGCGGGGCGGACCCAGCGGGCCCCGGGCGUCUGAGCUCUUCGCCAGCGCAGAGUGCGCGGGGCUUGGCACCUUCCCGCGACUGGAGCCGGGCCAGCGCCACUGGUGGCUGAGGGGCCCGACCCCGCGGGGGAAAAGCCCGGAAUUCCCGCAUGUCGGUGGGACUGGUAACCCCAGGUCUUAGAUGACCGGACCCGAGGGCUCUCCAAACUGGCCAUUCCAGCUGCUGAUUUCAGGGGUCCCCAGAAGCAGCGGGCGAGGCCGCCGUGAUUUCUCUUCAUUUAUUUCCUCACUUCUCUAAAGGACCUGCCACGAUCCCGCGAGCGCAAAGACAAAACCACGUAUAUGUUUUAUUCCUGUUAUUUAUUGCCCAGAUCUCAGUAGGAAUAUAAAGGCUGGAAAGGAGUUCGGUGACAUCGCACCCCCAAGAUCACCGCCUCUGAAGCUCUGUUGGUUGCUGGGAAGCCAGUGUGCGCCAGUUCACCUGCACACACCGGUUUACAGUUGUGGACGCAGGCAUCCUGCGCUGAGGAGUCACCCCGCAAAGUGGUAGCACGGGUAGAGGUCUGGGGAGGCACCUGGUGCCGCAGAAACAUCUAGAAGCUGGGCAAAGACCUCGGAGAGUGGUUACCCUGGAGAUCCUUACCCUCCGUCGGGCACACGGCUUUUUAAAUCCUGACACGGGCAGCACCGAAAAGCGUCCCUUGGGUGCGUUGGAAGCCAGAGCGCACGUCAGGGUGCCCCACGGCCUGGAAAGAAGUUUGCUGAAGGUCUCAAGCCAACCCAUCCUCCUCCCGCAGCCACGUGAAGGAAAAUUCUGGAGAUGGGUUCUCCAGGACUGGCAACUAAUUGAAUUCCCUGAAAGAUGCUUUCUUCUCUCCCUAGACUGUGAGUUUCUGUCAACUUCCCUGCCAGUUUCAGGAAGGACAGAGCUUUUAACUGCUCCACAUAGUGGCAUGAUGUUUCUUGGUAUAAUGGGGCUUCUGAGACCAGACGUUCCUCUGCUAAAUGCUGGCUGGUUUGACGCUCUCUGCUGUCUCCAGUACCUCAUCCUUUGGUUUCCUAUCUCUCCACAAGACCUGCCUUCUCUUUUCUAUCCCCCUGAGGAGCGCCUUCUAGCCCAGGAAUGUCUCCCUUCUUGGAGACCAUAUUGCACUGCUGGUCUGCACAUCUCACUUGGCAAUUAAUCACGU